UCCUCUUCACGAUCAGGGAAGAAACGACCGGAACAGUUCUGUUCAUCGGUAACCUGCUCAACCCUCUUGCCGGCUGAGUGUUACAACCCCCUGGGAAAGGGCAUCAGAUGUACGUAGAAUAAUACGCGCGAGACUGUAGUAAAUAAAAUGUAUGAUCCUUGUAUACAUGUACUAUGUUUGGUUAUUACCUAAUCACCCUGUACUUGCAGCAGUUGGUCUUGUUUCUCCCAUGUGGCGAUUUUUGUUUGUUCUCCCAUGGCGUUUAUCCAUGUGUAGAAUCUUGAUUCUGAAUACUUAUUUUAUGAUGUACUCUGUUUGAACAAUAAAAGUUUUAGCCGACUGCAAACGUCGGUUAGUGUUAAAGUAUUUAAUAUAUAGAAUGGACGAGUGCUAGUGUUGUACCAUACACAUGGUUGGUGAUGAAAAAGAUUAAACUUUGAAUAUUCUAUAAAAUAUUAUUUAACUUGGGACGAGGAUCUUCUUUGUGAGGAUCUUAUGAAUUAAUUUAUCUUAACGGUUCAUUGUACAUCGUGUGACCAUCUUUCAUUAGAUACUUUUUGUGUUAAAUUUUAAAUAAAUUCAAAAUAAUUUUUGGCUGCAGGAUGAUUGAUAAACAGAUAUGAUGCAUUGAUUCCUAAAGUCCUCACAAAGAGAAUCCGGAUGUUUAUAGUCCUCCAUGACUGGAGAUGGCCUAAGAUGCUAAACACUUAACACUACCCAAUUUUUCCAGUUAGUUAAAUUUUCACAAUUAGUGUAUUAAAUUGCUUAAGAAAUGUUAUCAGCACUCUAAAAUAAUUGACCAUAUUUUCUUGACUCUUUUGUUAAAUUGCAUGAAGAUUUUUUUGGAUAGUCAAUAAUAUCUCCCAAUUGCUUAACAUAGAAUUAAAUAGAGUAUCGCUAACUAGAGCAUGAUAUGUUUCUGUGUCUUUGAUGCCCUUUGCUCGAGAAAAUUUAGUAUAGGGUUUUCAUCACAAAUGGUCCCUGACAUUGAUCAAACACAUCAUUUUGGUCCCUGACAUUGAAAAUCAAUAGAAAUGGUCCCUGACAUUGAUCAAACACAUCAUUUUGGUCCCUGACAUUGAAAAUCAAUAGAAAUGGUCCCUGACAUUGAUCAAACACAUCACAAAUAGUCCUUCCGUUAAAAACGUUUUGGGCAAUUUUCAAAGCUUUGUAACUCAAUCGUUUCUUAACCAAAUUCGACCCAUAAUAUAUCAAAAUGAAGAUAGGAAAGUGUAGAACAAGAUUAUACCUAUUUGGAAACCCAAUGGUUGCCGGAGAUGGCCGGAAAACAGCCUCAAAUGUGACUGGUCCGCGAAAAAACUGGAAAACUCGCCUGAAAUGGGGUAAACUUUAAACAUUCAUAACUUCUUCAAUAAUCAACGAAAUCGAGUGAUUCAAAAAUGAAAAUCAUACUUCUCGACGAGACUAAGAGAAUGGUAGCUUUCUUGAUGGCUAACUCAUUGUAGUUUGGCCGGAAAAUGACUCGAAAUUGGCUAACUCGAAAAUGGUUAUCCAAGUUCGAGCCAUUUUCCGGUCAAACCACGGUAAAUUAGUAGUCAAUAAAGAUACCAUUAUCUUUCUCUCAUUGAGAAGUAUGAUUUUCAUUUUUGAAUCACUCAAUUUCAUUGAGUAUUGAAGAAGUUAUGAAUGUUUAAAGUUUACCCCAUUUCAGGCGAGUUUUUCAGUUUUUUCGCGGACCAGUCACAUUUGAGGCUGUUUUCCGGCCAUCUCCGGCAACCAUUGGGUUUCUAAAUAGGUAUAAUCUUGUUCUACACUUUCCUAUCUUCAUUUUGAUAUAUCAUGGGUCGAAUUUGGUUAAGAAACGAUUGAGUUACGAAGCUUUGAAAAUUGCCCAAAACGUUUUUAACGGAAGGACCAUUUGUGAUGUGUUUGAUCAAUGUCAGGGACCAUUUCUAUUGAUUUUCAAUGUCAGGGACCAAAAUGAUGUGUUUGAUCAAUGUCAGGGAUCAUUUGUGAUGAAAACCCUUUAGUAUAUGAACGACAAACUACGUGUUAUUACGGCCACAGACGAUAAUCCAGACUAUUUGUUUAAUACUUAAGCUUACUUGUGGUCCCAUUAUGUAAAAAAAUUUUGCAUUAGUCUGCACACAAGAAAUUUUUUAUUGGUUUCAGUUGAGCUCAAAUAAUAAUAAUCUGUUCGUGUAAAAGUUAAAAUUUAUCUUAUUAUGUAAUUGAUUUAAAAUACCGUAAAUACUGAUUUAAAAUUAUCUCAUUGUCAGCUUGUGUGUCAUUCUCGUAGAAUUUGGAAUUAUUCACAUUGUUUAGUAACGUAGGAUAUUUCAAGAAGCAUUUUUGCUCACUAUCAUUUAGUGUAAUGUAUAUUCAUCAUUCUAUUUAUCAUCGUUAGAUGAGUUUGAAUUUUAAGAUCCGUGUAGUGGAUAGACACAAAUUUCAAAAUUCAAUCUCAUCUAACGAUAAUAAAUAUGAUGAUGAACAUAAAUCAAAUAAAUGAUGAUGAAAAAAAAUACAUAGAUAUUUCAGUACAUGAAAACGUCACGUUAAUGAAAGGAGCUGGAGCGCCUGCUGCUGACCUCGGUCAAACAGACGGUGUGGGUUUCACGUGGCUGGCGCGAAAUCUAAACCGUUAAUUUAAUGUUAGUUAUCUCUCCCCUUGUCACGACUCCCAUGUAAUGCUGUAAAGUCACAAGCACCCAUCGUUUGGUUCUAAUAUUACAACAGUACCGCCCAUGGAAACACAAUCUUAAGCAAUCUCUAAUACUCAUAAUGUUGUUGAAGUUUUGCACUAAUAAUAGUUGCUAAACAGUGAUUAGACAGUCAGAUAAGAGACAGGGUUUAUGAUGUGAUUUGGACGUCCCAUCCUUUGCCACUUAAAAUGUCUUACCUACCAAACAUAUCUUGAAAAAUAAUUUAGCUUGGUACGAAGAAUCACAAUUUUUGUUUAUAAUUGACGAAAUCAAUCAAUGCAUGUUUUUUAUCAAAUCAAUAUUUAUUGGGAUAUUCAUCCUUAAAAUCUUCAUUUUGUUAUAAAACAACAAUAUAUUUAUUAUUUUUAAAAUUUUGUAAUACGUUUAUUUAAGUAGUGACUUUGAACGUUUUAAAAUUGAAAAAUCAAUAUUUAAAUGCAAAGUUGUCCGUUUUGAAUAAUCUCUAACAAUAUUUUCCUUCUCGUAAAUGAGUAAGAUUGGUUUAUUUUGUACACAAUUAGAUAUUGAGAGUUGAAAUUCUAAAUACUAAGUUCUUCUUAACAUAUUUUCGUAACCAUUUAAGAUGUUUGUAUAUUCGAAGAAUAUGGAAAAAUUGAAUCAACCCAGAUUAUUAUUAUGGCUGUCGACAUCUUUUAUCAGAGGAUAGCCAUCAAGUCACACCGCAUAUCCAGAAAGAGAAAUCCAUCCAAAAAAUAGGAAAACGAAAUGACAUUCCUUAUUUUCCUCCAUGGACGUCCCUUCUCUCCCCACCACGAAGGUCCCAGCUGAAAAGAAACGGAUGGCACAAUCGUGAUUAUCACAAACAGGAAUGUCAAAUUGUAGCAAGAGCAUGGUCAGCGCCGUUACAAAUAAGUGGAAGUUCCUCGGAAGAGUAAGAGAACGCGACAAUCAUAACGUAAUCUAUCUCUUCACUUUCUCAAUCCUUUUCUAUCUUUUUUUUCUUUCUGGGUUCCUUGUACUUCUCAUAAAUAUUAAGAGUUUAAUUCAAAAGAAAGGAACUUUCUCUUUCAUUGCUUACAUUUUUUUUUUCAGAUUAUUUACUUUCCCUUCCUUGCAGUUGCUUGGAAGAAACCAAGCUCAGAAGACCUUUGUUUUUUGAGAAUUCAGUUCAAUCCGUUUAUAUAUAUAUAUAUAUAUGGUGUUGAUGAUUUACCAGAAGUGAUAGUGCUUCAACCGAGAAGAAGAAGCUUUUAGUCUUCAGAAAUUCAGAGAAAAGAUAAGGAAGUGGAAGAGUGAAGGAAAAGCAAAUCAAAAGAUGGGAGAAACUGCUCCUCAUCCUCCACCACAGGUGGUUGCUCGGCCGUCUCAGAUGCCUCUUGGGGCAGCGAAGGGUCCCCAUUUGGACUCCAACUGAGCAGCUCCACAACCUUCAGUAUUGCAUCCACUCCAACCCCUCUUAGCGUUAGUCUCUCUCUGUUUCUGUUAAUUUCUUCGUUCUGGGUUUUAUAUUUUUUGAGUAAAAAGCUGAUUAAAGUUGUGCUAUUUUAAUGGGUUGGUUUAAAAGUUGAAGCUUUUGGCACUACUUCUUAUUUAGUUUACUAGUUUGCUUUUUAUUCCUAAUUUUGCAAAUUACUUUUACUAUUUUUGUUUCGGAUUCUCUAAUUUAUUGUGUUCGAAUCUUUUUAAGUACUGUAAUUAGUUCUAAUAAAAUAAUAAGCAUAUGUUCCAUUACCAGUUUCAACUUAUCCUGCUUACAAGACAUCGAUAUCACUCGAAAAUGUUUAGGAAGUGUAAACGUAAAUUUCCCAUGUUUAUCAAAUGCAACAAACUGCUUCUAAUGGAUCGAAUUUUACAGCGGAAACAUUCGUACUCGCUUUUCAGCACUAUAUUGUGAUGCUCGGAUCCAUAGUUAUAAUUGCCACUAGUUUCGUGCCUCGGAUGGGUGGGGAUCAUGUAAGUUAUGUCCUCUAUACAGUAAAGUUUAUAAUAUGCCGGUUAAGAUUAGCGAUCACACACGUAGCUUUGAAUCCGUGAUGUUAAUGUUUGGGUUUUGUUCUCCCUUUGUGAUCAGGGUGACAAGGCACGCGUGAUUCAGACGAUGCUGUUUAUGGCAGCAAUAAACACUUUGAUCCAAACAUUCACGGGACAAGGCUUCCAACAGUGAUGACUUCGUCAUUCGCUUUUACCCUUCCGGUGAUGUCAAUCAUCAAUGAUUAUUCUGAUCGGAAUUUUAGAAGUGAACAUGAGGUAUGUAAAGUUUGAAACAUGUUAUUCAUAGAGGAUUUAACAUCACAUUAAUUUACUUCUUAAAUUGCUUUAAGAAAUUUCAGUUAUAGACUUUGAGAUGAAAAAUACGUGGUGCAAAAAACGUGUAAACCUUACAUACCUGUAGAAGACGUCAUGAUGAAUUUCUGGUUUUGAGGACGGAAUAGAUUGAAGCACGUCCAUGCACUGUUGCGUCAUAUGCAACAAACUGAUGGGGAGUUCUAGGGUUGUGGCAUUAGCAAUGUGACAGGGACCUCAAACUUACAUAGGCCUCACGUCCCUAGAACCCUACCCACUAAUGGAGACUAGAAACUCUUAUGAUCCUCUAACGAGAAUAAUAAAGCCAAUGGAAAUGUUAGCACACAAUUGUUGUACAUAUAACAGACUUCGAGCAAUUUUUGGAACACGUAAAACAUUGUUAAGAAUAAGAUCAUGAGUAUUGGUUUUAAUGGUUGUUGCAUCAAUAUUCUUAAUGGAUAAACCUGUUCCAUUUCCAACUGUGAUUUUAUCAAAACCUUGGAAUGGUGUAACUUGAUUCAAUGUGGUGGCAUCAGCAGUGAUAUGAUGAGAUGCACCAGUAUCAACAAUCCAUGCAUCAUGAGGAAUAUAUUGUUCUAUCUGCUGUGUUGCCAUAGCUGUUAAGUUUGCAGGUGGUUGUUGGCCUUGAAAAACAUAAUUCCCUUUGUGAUAACAUUCAAGAGCUGAGUGACCUUUUUUUCCCACAAAUCUGACACUCCAUUUGAAAUCUAGUAUUUGGUGUAGUAGCAUUUCUGUGAAAACAAUUGACUGCAGUAUGCCCUUUCUUGUUGCAGAUUUGGCACUCAAUCACUGUUGUUGACCUGCUCUCUGUGUUUCCAUUCCACACAUUUGAACCAUUUGACCUUGAAUUGCCAUACGAAAAAUCAGAAGAGUUUCCUAUGUUGUAACCCUUGCUUUUGAAUCCACCAUUUGUCUUGUAAUUAUUGUUACCCUUGUAGUUUGAACCACCAAAAGGUUUCUGCAUGAAAUGAGGUAUUGGACCAGAAUUUGAUGCAUUAGCCAUAAACCCAAAACCAUAGGGAACUUGAGGAUAAACUGGACCAGGAAAUUGCGGAGACAUAGGAGGUUGAGGCAUAUGAGGUUGCUGUGGAUAUUGUUGUGGCAAGACAAAUGGCUGUGGUUAUUGUGGCUGUGGAUAUUGUUGUGGAUAUUGCUGUGGUAAAACAAAUGGCUCAGCAGAAUAUGGAUAUGGAUUAGGAGUUAUAACACCACCAGUGGUUGCAGGUAAAUGACUAUGCCCUGCAGGAUUAGACCCUGAAGCAAAUGAAUUUCCCUGAGUUGACUAAGAACCCUAAACAUAUAAGGCAGAUAGACUUUGAGACCCAACACUUGUGUCUCAUUCAAUCUCUUUUUCAGCUCUAAAUUUUUUCAAGGAAAUGGAUGAUUCUUUGCCAUAUAUCACAGUUCGAAUAGUUGCAUACUCCUUCGGCAAACCAGCUAAACCAGCAAUUAUAACAUCAUUAUCAGAAAUGAACUCUCCAGUAGCAGUUAAUUGUUCUCUUAUACUCUUCAAUCUUAACAGAUAUUUAUCCAUCAAAUCUCCUCAUUUUUGAAUGGUGUACAACUCAAUUUUUAAAUGAUUUACCCUAGUUUUAGACACUGAAGCAAAUCUAUCCACAAGAUUCGACCAAGCCUCACAAGCAGUUAAACAUCCAAGAACAUAUUUAAUAGCCUCAUCAAACAAAGUAGCUAGUAAAAGACUUAGUAAUGGAUAUGUGGAUUCCCAUUCAACAUAUUCAGCAAGUUCAGAAGUAACUCCUCUCUUAGUAUCUAUUACAAAUUUUUGUGGACAACCAAUAGUGCCAUCAAAAUGCCCAAACAAUUUAUGACCUUUCAACACAUAUUUGAACUGAAAAGCCCAUUUCACAAAAUUAUCAUCCUUCAACUUUAUUGUGAUCAUUCCCAGUUUCAACUUUAACACUUGAAGUAGUCAUGAUUUCUUGAUCGAACACAUAGAAUUUGCAAAUAACAAACAAACACCCAAAAAUUUCUGAUAUACGUAUUGAAAGGAAAGACUGAAACUUUCUCACAACCCAAGCAAGACUGAAACUCGCUUAAUACUCAGGAAAAACUGAAACUUUCUUGAUGAAUCUUGCACACAAAUACAACACACAAUUCCAAUUCGGAAAAGAAAACACAAAAUCUUCUAAUCAGGACUGAAACCCAAUUACUCAACAGAAAUUCACACUAUCACUUGAAUUGCAGCUGUGAUUGCAGCCACAAAUAGCCAGAAUACCAACCGCCAGAAAGAACAACAAGGAUCUGCAAUCGCCAGAACUUUUGAACAAACCCGUUGAAAAGACCUUUCAGAAUCCUUGAACUGGAUAGCAGCGAAAGAACUAGGAUCGAAAACGGUAGUGAACCAUGGUCAGCGAUGAUACCAUAUUAACAGUGUUGAAUUGUGGCCAAGUGGCCAUCACCUUUCGGCUAAUAAACAAACAAAGAAAAGAAAAAGAAAGACAAAAUGAUGAGGAAACAUCAUGAUGAGGAGGCAUCAUGAUUAUGCUUUCUUGUAGUUUUUUAAUAACCAUAAUUAUUGUUUUUGUUUCGGGUAGAAGAGAAGAAAGGGAGAGCUCAUUUUUUAGAAGAAAGCAUAUUAAAGAGAGAAGAGGAGAGAGAGAAGGUAGAGCCUUUUGGUUAUAAAAGGCAUUCGAUUAUGCCUUUGGAUGUGGGAGGGGGGGGAGCGGCAGAUGAGAGAGCACAGGGAGAGCAUUCGGCUCUCCCAUUUGAAUAUGAGCUGCUCCUUCCCACCAUUUGUAAUAAUCCCAUUUUGUUAGUAAUCACUCAAUCAAAGAUGUUGGUGCUACUUGUGUAGCUUUUGGGAGAGAAGGAUUUUGAUAUGUGUUUCUUCUUCUCCAUUUGUUUCUUAGUUUGAGUGAGAGCUAUUGGGUGUAUGUGGGAUUUGGGUUUGAGUGUUGAACUCUAUUUGUAAUCUCCUUUUGAUAUUAAUGGAAUUUCCUCGCCGUCUCGGAACUGGAUGUAGGCUUACGCCAAACCAGUAUAAAAAUCCUUGUGUCUUUUGGAUUAUUUGUCUUGUCAUAUUUUGCCGUUAUUAGCUUUGAUUUCAUAUUUGAAGCUUCCGCACAACAAGUGGUAUCAAAGCUCCGGGUUUCGACUUGGAGGCUUUGUACUAGUAUGUCUAUGAAAUCUUCAAAUGACGGUGAAAUAUGUUUUUUGGAAAAAUUCGACUGGAGGAAUGACUUUGGCAUUUGGUCAAUUGGAGAUGCAGAGUUUGGCUGCAAAAUGCGUGGCGUUGAAGAAGGAUAGUAAGGGACUAUGCUGCAGUCAUUGAGCUUGCAGAUUGGAGAAUGGUUUCGGAAACAGCGUGUCUGCUGCAAUGUUGCCGUCGAUGUUGUUGAAGUGUUGGUGUUCGACAGCUGCAGAUGUAGUGUACUGCUUUUGGUGGGUUCUCUGUUGGUCAUCGCUGCACCGGAGGUGUUUGUGGGCUGUUGUCGACGAGUUGAGUGGGAAGGAGAAAAGGUAGAAGCAGUUGAAAAUUGAAAAGAAAAUGUUGGUUCUUUUUCUUUCGGCAUUUGUUUUGGCAGAAGGACAUCAUGAUGACAAAUGAUGUUGUUGGCUGGAAGAAAAGGGAAAAAGGCUAAGGCUAAGUUUUCUUUUCUUUGGCAUUUUUUCAACGGCAGAAAAUUUUUGGUUCUUUUUUCACUCCCAUUAGUUGCCUUUGGAGCAAGUUGAUGGAAACAUUGGAGGAGUUUGUGAGGGCCAAUUUGUUGAGUUCUGCAAGUUUGGAUAGUGAGGCACCACACUAUUUUGGAUACACCACAUGCACUGCAGAACAUUUGUGUGGAACCCUCUUGUAGAAGGCAAGUUAUAUGCUUUCUAACUUUGUUUGGUCUAUGGACAUUUAGUUGGAUUUGUUUGCCACUGCUAUUUGGUUUGUUGGUCUCCAUCAUCUGCAAUUAGUUUUCUUGAAGACUCCAGUUGAGGUAUGGUUUUGGAUCUCCUGCUGAUUAUUUGAAUUUGAAAUUUUUGGUUGUCCUGUUGGUGCUCAUGUGAUGAUGGUAAACUUGAGUGGAGGGCAUAGUUUUUUUGUAUGUGGUAUGUUAGACCUUGUUGCCAAAUUUGUAAUCAGUUUUGACUUGGAGAAUAUGCCGUGCUAUUUGAAUGAGUCUAUUGAUGCAGUUUAAGACCAUGGUGUUUGUAAGCAGGUGGAGUUCGUUCUGUGUCCAACUUUGGUAUGGUGUGCUUGAUCUUUUGUUAGUGAUAUUGAAGAAUUUCAGUUCUUCGUUUGAAUCACUUUUGUUUUGAUCAAGGCACUUAUGGUUUGCAAAUUUGGAGAAUACGGUAGAGAAAUGGUCUACUUUUGUUGGCUUUGGUAUAAUUUGAGUCGAGGUGGAGAUCAUUAUGAGUACCGGAAAGUUUGGGGAAUUUGAUUUAGUUCCCGUUGUCUUUAGUUUGUACUUUGGGUGAUUAUGGUGAUUGUUGAUUCGAUUCUCUGUGAUGGUUUCGGAACUUGGCCAAGGUGGAGAUUGUUGAAUUGUGGCCAAGUGGCCAUCAUCGGCUAAUAAACAAACAAAAGAAAAGAAAAAGAAAGACAAAAUGAUGAGGAAACAUCAUGAUGAGGAGGCAUCAUGAUUAUGCUUUCUUCUUUUGUGGUUUUUUAAUAACCAUAAUUAUUGUUUGUUUAUUAGCCGAAAGGUGAUGGCCACUUGGCCACAAUUCAACAAUCUCCACCUUGGCCAAGUUCCGAAACCAUCACAGAGAAUCGAAUCAACAAUCACCAUAAUCACCCAAAGUACAAACUAAAGACAACGGGAACUAAAUCAAAUUCCCCAAACUUUCCGAUACUCAUAAUGAUCUCCACCUUGACUCAAAUUGUACCAAAGCCAACAAAAGUAGACCACUUCUCUACCGUCUUCUCCAAAUUUAAAUCCUAUGAAGAAAGGGAGAGCUCAUUUUUUAGAAGAAAGCAGAUUGAAGAGAGAAGAGGAGAGAGAAGGUAGAACCUUUUGGUUAUAAAAGGCAUUCGAUUAUGCCUUUGGAUGUGGGGAGAGCGGCAGAUGAGAGAGCACAGGGAGAGCAUUCGGCUCUCCCAUUUGAAUAUGAGUUGCUCCUUCCCACCAUUUGUAAUAAUCCAAUUUUGUUAGUAAUCACUCAAUCAAAGAUGUUGGUGCUACUUGUGUAGCUUUUGGGAGAGAAGGAUUUUGAUAUGUGUUUCUUCUUCUCCAUUUGUUUCUUAGUUUGAGUGAGAGCUAUUGGGUGUAUGUGGGAUUUGGGUUUGAGUGUUGAACUCUAUUUGUAAUCUUCUUUUGAUAUUAGUGGAAUUUCCUCGCCGUCUCGGAACUGGAUGUAGGCUUAUGCCGAACCAGUAUAAAAAUCCUUGUGUCUUUUGGAUUAUUUGUCUUGUCAUAUUUUGCCAUUAUUAGCUUUGGUUUCAUAUUUGAAGCUUCAGCAAUACAAACAGUACAAGAUCAAUGAAUUCCUAUGAAUGAAUAAACUAAAGAAAUCGAAGAAAGAGAAUAACGAGAGAGAAAAGCUUUUCAUUUAUAUUGCUCUAACAGAAAAUGAUUACAUGAUAAAAAUCUAAGUCUCCAAAACAAUAAUUAUAUAGAGACUAGAAUGAGCAGAAUCACAAUAUUGCCUUUCUAACUAAUUCUUAUCUUCUAACAACCUCAACACUCACAAGCUUGACACUUGUCAUUUCUUACAACCACUCCUAACAAAUCCUAACUGUUUAUCUGGUUAAUAUAACGGAUGGCCGACGACCGACACCGAGAUUUUCCCAAACCUUGGUCCUUACUCUCGUAUAAAUUCGAAACGAACAGUAAACAAUUUUCUCGCAAUCGGAAGCACGGCAAACAUGGAUCUGAGAGAAAGCAUCAUCAACCAAAACGACGUCGCAAGGAGGCUGACGAAGCAGCUGGUUCAGACCGAAGGCAAGCAGUCGAACCUCGUGUACUCGCCGCUGUCCAUCCACGUGGUGCUGAGCCUGAUCGCAGCCGGGUCAAAGGGUCCCACCCAGGAGCAGCUGCUCUCAUUCCUCAAGUCAGAGUCCACCGACCACCUCAACUCCUUCGCCUCCCAGCUCCUGCCCUUUAUCUUCUCCGAUGGGUCCCCCGUGGGCGGCCCCAAGCUGGCGUUUGCGAAUGGCGUUUGGGUGCAGAAGCCUCUCCCUCUGAAGCCUUCCUUCAAGCAGGUGGUGGAAGCUUCUUACAGGGCCGCUCUCGUCCUAGUUGAUUUUCAGACCAAUGUAAGCUCCCAAACCCUCUGUCAUGUCGUUUCGAUUGUUUUUGUCGAUGCUGCUCAUGAUCAAAGUCUUUGGUUGUAAUUUCAGACCAAUGUUUCAAUGUCGAUGCUGCUGAUGCUCUUUUGUUCGUUACUGUUUUUGGUUGUAAUUGAUCGAGAUAUGCAGGUUGAUAUCAUUGUUUUCUAACUUGUCGUAACUGUUGUUGGUGCUCAAGGCUGCUCAAGUGGAGUCGGAAGUGAAUUCAUGGGCUGAAAAGGAGACGAGCGGCCUUAUCAAGGAUCUACUUCCUCCCGGGUCACUUGACAGCUUCACCAGGCUCAUCUUUACCAAUGCAUUAUACUUCAAGGGAGCUUGGAAUGAGAAAUUUGAUGCAACAGCUACAAAAGAGCAUGACUUCCACCUUCUCGACGGGAGCACAGUUAAGGCGCCCUUCAUGACCAACAAGAACCAGCAGUAUGUAAGUGCCUUUGACGGUUUCUCAGUCUUAGGGCUUCCUUACAAACAAGGUGAAGACAAGCGGCGCUUCUCCAUGCACAUCUUUCUUCCACAGGAGAAAGAUGGGCUGCCAGCUUUGGUUGAGAAACUUGGCUCUGAGUCCGGGUUUUUAGAUCGCUAUCUUCCCAAACAACCAGUUGCAGUGGGCGACUUCAGAAUCCCAAAGUUUAAGAUCUCAUUUGGGUUUGAAGCUUCCAAUGUCCUAAAGAGUCUGGGACUGGUGCUGCCUUUCGUGGGUGGAGGUCUGACAGAGAUGGUGGACUCGCCCGAGGGUAAGAAGCUAUAUGUUUCCAACAUAUUCCACAAGUCGUUCAUCGAAGUGAAUGAAGAAGGCACAGAAGCUGCAGCUGCUUCUGCCGGCGUUAUAAGUGAUAGGAGGAUGCCCAUGACAUUUGUGGCUGAUCGUCCGUUCCUCUUCACGAUCAGGGAAGAAACGACCGGAACAGUUCUGUUCAUCGGUAACCUGCUCAACCCUCUUGCCGGCUGAGUGUUACAAUCCCCUGGGAAAAGGCAUCAUGUGUACGUAGAAUAAUACGAGAGUAUAGUAAAUAAAAUGUAUGAUCCUUGUAUACAUGUGCUAGGUUUGGUUAUUACCUAAUCACCCUGUACUUGCCGCAGUUGGUCUUGUUUCUCCCAUGUGGCGAUUGUUGCUCGUUCUCCCAUGGCGUUUAUCUAUUUGUACAAUCUUGAUUCUGAAUACUUAUUUUAUGUUGUACUCUGUUUGAACAAUUAAAGUUUUAGCC
This 12374-nucleotide long non-coding RNA is filed under the name Malus domestica (apple). RNAcentral describes it as "long non-coding RNA (MDOM_LNC007255)". Lineage: Eukaryota; Viridiplantae; Streptophyta; Magnoliopsida; Rosales; Rosaceae. The record is from RNAcentral.